Molecule: ribosomal RNA, 787 nt
Filed under: uncultured bacterium
Lineage: Bacteria
Description: bacterial SSU rRNA
Rfam family: Bacterial small subunit ribosomal RNA
Source: RNAcentral
AGAGUUUGAUCCUGGCUCAGGAUGAACGCUAGCGGGAGGCUAACACAUGCAAGCCGAGCGGUAGAAGUCCUUCGGGACUUUGAGAGCGGCGUACGGGUGCGUAACACGUGUGCAACCUACCUUUAUCAGGGGAAUAGCCUUUCGAAAGGAAGAUUAAUACUCCAUAAUAUAUUGAAUGGCAUCAUUCGGUAUUGAAAACUCCGGUGGAUAGAGAUGGGCACGCGCAAGAUUAGAUAGUUGGUGAGGUAACGGCUCACCAAGUCAAUGAUCUUUAGGGGUCCUGAGAGGGAGAUCCCCCACACUGGUACUGAGACACGGACCAGACUCCUACGGGAGGCAGCAGUGAGGAAUAUUGGACAAUGGGUGAGAGCCUGAUCCAGCCAUCCCGCGUGAAGGAUGACGGUCCUAUGGAUUGUAAACUUCUUUUAUACAGGGAUAAACCUAGAUACGUGUAUCUAGCUGAAGGUACUGUAUGAAUAAGCACCGGCUAACUCCGUGCCAGCAGCCGCGGUAAUACGGAGGGUGCAAGCGUUAUCCGGAUUUAUUGGGUUUAAAGGGUCCGUAGGCGGACUCGUAAGUCAGUGGUGAAAUCUCAUAGCUUAACUAUGAAACUGCCAUUGAUACUGCGGGUCUUGAGUAAAGUAGAAGUGGCUGGAAUAAGUAGUGUAGCGGUGAAAUGCAUAGAUAUUACUUAGAACACCAAUUGCGAAGGCAGGUCACUAUGUUUUAACUGACGCUGAGGGACGAAAGCGUGGGUAGCGAACAGGAUUAGAUACCCUAGUAGUCC